RNAcentral lists this ribosomal RNA (494 nucleotides) under uncultured bacterium. RNAcentral describes it as "partial 16S ribosomal RNA". It matches the Rfam family "Bacterial small subunit ribosomal RNA", at positions 28 to 507 of the family's 1533-position model. The record is from RNAcentral.
GACGAACGCUGGCGGCGCGCUUAACACAUGCAAGUCGAACGGAAAGGCCUGCUUUCCCUUGUGGAUUGCGGGUACUCGAGUGGCGAACGGGUGAGUAACACGUGAGUGAUCUGCCCCCAACUUGGGUAUAAGCCUGGGAAACUGGGUCUAAUUCCCGAUAGGACUGCAGGGUGGUGCCUGUGGUGGAAAACGAUUUUCUAGUGGUUGGGGAUGAGCUCGCGGCCUAUCAGCUUGUUGGCGGGGUAAUGGCCUACCAAGGCGGCGACGGGUAGCCGGCCUGAGAGGGUGGACGGCCACAUUGGGACUGAGAUACGGCCCAGACUCCUACGGGAGGCAGCAGUGGGGAAUAUUGCACAAUGGGCGGAAGCCUGAUGCAGCGACGCCGCGUGGGGGAUGACGGCCUUCGGGUUGUAAACUCCUUUCGACCGCGAGGAAGCCACCUGGUUGGAAGGGUGGUGACGGUAGUGUUAGAAGAAGCACCGGCUAACUACGUG